GUGCAGCGCACCCAGAUAAACCACUAGUGCUCUCUACGCCUACUGCUCACUUUACCCCCUCAUGUUCUGUGCUCACUCACCUCCUGUUCAGUGUCUGCCUUAGCCUUAACGCCACGCCAUUACAACAGAAUAAUGUUCAGGUGUAGCCCUACGGUGUUCACACAACGUCACGCCCAGCGUUAUAGCGUCCGGUGACUUUGGCCGUGCCUGCCGCGGGCGUUUUGUUCCCCUGUUUUGUCGCCGGGGUUUUACGCGCGAUGCCGGAGACCGCAAAUCUGAGCAGCAGUCAGAUGCUGGGAGACUUGUGCGAGUGACCGAGUGCGUGCGCCUCUCUCUGGGAGUGCUUGCCUUUCAUAAGAAGUGCAUACUUGUGGCACUUGUGCAAUGUUAUUUUGUGACUCAUCUUGAGCGUGGUGAAGCACUCCGGAUAUGCUCAGUGUACUGUCCUGCACAGUAAUGAAAGAGCAUCUGUUUCACAUUCAUCUUCUGUCAGGACGGGCGUCCCAACAUACAACAUCACAGUCCUGUUCAGUGUGUGGUUUGGAUGCGGUACCGACCCGAAAAGGCUCCGGGCCUUGUGCUCCUGAGGCCCGAGAUGCUCUUAUUCUGCCCAGUCCACAGUGUACGAUCCGCACCAGCCAGGUCACUCUAUGUUCUGUCUGUUUAACACCAGACAUUGUGCCAAAUUACCAAAUAUCUUAUCUGCAAUUUUAAUUUACCAAACAAGUCGACCAAUCAGAGUACUCAAUAGGAGUGCUUCCUGUCUCCAUGUUGCCACCACACCAGCAGCAAACCAAGAGGGCUCCUACUAAUAUCUUCUCUUUUGCCUUUCCAUAAUUCAUACUUCUGUGAUGUAGAUGUAUCACUGUACUAGUGCCAAAUGUUUGAACAAAGCACUCUUCCCCAUCUUCAGAAUGGGCAUGUAUAUAUUUAUAUAACUUCCAUUGUACUGUAUAUACAUACUGUAUCUUUGUAUAUUUCUGAAAUAAGUCCAUAAAUAUAAGUAGCGCUUAAAAAUAGCGUUAUAUAAACAGUAGCUCUGGGCACAGUCACUCUUCCUGACCCAGGUGAUACGUUUAGCUUUAAAAAAACAAAGUGAUAAGAAUGUACACUGACUAGUGGUUUUGGUACUCUGAGGAUUAGUUUAUCUAAUGGCAGGCUGUGUGUUUAGACCGAGCUGGGCACCUGGGUUAUAGUGUCUAUAACAGUGCAAACAUGCUUAUCUGCAUGUGCAAAAGCCGCAUCUCUGUAUCAGAUGCAGACGCUGCGUCUCUCUGUAUCGGAUGCAGCAGCUGCGUCUCUCUGUAUCGGAUGCAGCAGCUGAACCGUGCCCAGAUGUUUGUGUAGGUGGCCAUCCAGGUGUGACAGGAAUUUGUGUGGGUGGUUAUGUGCUGUAGGUGUGACACAGGUAUUUGCGCCGGUGGUUAUACAGGUGUGGCGUAGGCAUUCGCACAGGUGGUUCUACACGUGUGCUUAUUUGGCAAGAUGAUUCAAUUGAGUUGUUACCCAGUUGUUCUUGUUGAGUGCUUUGGACGCCAAACACACGUGAGAGGAGCUUGGAUGUGAAAUUGCAGUUGGAUUCUAUUUCUGUUUGUCACUGUUUCAAAGGCCUUAUCUCUUCUCAUUGUUCUGUUUUUUUUCCUAGUUUUGUCAAGCAAUCACACCAACGCACAGCACCAUGAUUUUCAGCAAUGUUUAAUAAAAUAAUAAGCUAUUUAUUGAUCAUUUUCUGUAUGAGUCCUUUACAUUUGUAGAUAUGAAAGGAUGAUGAUCAGUUUUUAUUGAGUUCAGUUUUAUUUUUUAUUAAAUCCUAUCUGUUCUGGGAGCAGGUGUGCUGCCCAUUAGGGCUUCUGGUACUGGUGCUGUUUCUUCCCGUGACCACCGGGGGGUGCUGUGCUGCGUUGUGAACAAUGCCGUACCUCAGCGUUAUUCAUGUCACUUUUCUCAGUUAUAAAUGUACAGUCAUGUAGACUUGACUGAUUAAGCUUUUUUUUAUGGAAAUAAAGCAACAAUAUGUUUGUGUAAUGAA
This is a long non-coding RNA of Conger conger (European conger), 2029 nucleotides long. RefSeq lists it as uncharacterized. The record is from RefSeq and is a predicted model, not a curated record. Lineage: Eukaryota; Metazoa; Chordata; Actinopteri; Anguilliformes; Congridae. The transcript has 2 exons.